Molecule: ribosomal RNA, 396 nt
Filed under: uncultured bacterium
Lineage: Bacteria
Description: partial 16S ribosomal RNA
Rfam family: Bacterial small subunit ribosomal RNA
Source: RNAcentral
AUACGGAGGAUGCGAGCGUUAUCCGGAUUUAUUGGGUUUAAAGGGUGCGUAGGCGGCAGAUUAAGUCAGCGGUAAAAGCCCGGGGCUCAACUCCGGCGAGCCGUUGAAACUGGUUUGCUUGAGAGGUCGAGAGGCAUGCGGAAUGCGCAGUGUAGCGGUGAAAUGCAUAGAUAUUGCGCAGAACUUCGAUUGCGAAGGCAGCAUGCCGGCGGCUAUCUGACGCUGAGGCACGAAAGCGUGGGUAUCGAACAGGAUUAGAUACCCUGGUAGUCCACGCAGUAAACGAUGAAUACUGGCUGUGUGAUCCGAGAGGGGAUUGCGUGGCGUAGCGAAAGCGUUAAGUAUUCCACCUGGGGAGUAGGCCGGCAACGGUGAAACUCAAAUGAAUUGGCGGGG